RNAcentral lists this ribosomal RNA (253 nucleotides) under uncultured bacterium. Its description in RNAcentral is "partial 16S ribosomal RNA". It matches the Rfam family "Bacterial small subunit ribosomal RNA", at positions 524 to 776 of the family's 1533-position model. The record is from RNAcentral.
UACAGAGGUCUCAAGCGUUGUUCGGAUUCAUUGGGCGUAAAGGGUGCGUAGGCGGCGCGGUAAGUCGGGUGUGAAAUCUCGGAGCUUAACUCCGAAACUGCAUUCGAUACUGCCGUGCUUGAGGACUGGAGAGGAGACUGGAAUUUACGGUGUAGCGGUGAAAUGCGUAGAUAUCGUAAGGAAGACCAGUGGCGAAGGCGGGUCUCUGGACAGUUCCUGACGCUGAGGCACGAAGGUCAGUGGAGCAAACGGG